AGCAGCCGCGGUAAUUCCAGCUCCAAUAGCGUAUAUUAAAGUUGUUGCAGUUAAAAAGCUCGUAGUUGAAUUUCGGGGUUAGUAGGUUGGUCAUGCCUCUGGUAUGUACUGGUCUCACUGAUUCCUCCUUCCUGAUGAGCCGUAAUGCCAUUAAUUUGGUGUUGCGGGGAAUUUGGACUGUUACUUUGAAAAAAUUAGAGUGUUUAAAGCAAGCUAAUGCUUGGAUACAUUAGCAUGGAAUAAUGAAAUAGGACGUUCGAUCCUAUUUUGUUGGUUUCUAGGAUUGACGUAAUGAUUAAUAGGGAUAGUUGGGGGCAUUAGUAUUCAAUUGUCAGAGGUGAAAUUCUUGGAUUUAUUGAAGACUAACUACCGCGAAAGCAUUUGCCAAGGAUGUUUUCAUUAAUCAAGAACGAAAGUUAGGGGAUCGAAGACGAUCAGAUACCGUCGUAG
RNAcentral lists this ribosomal RNA (450 nucleotides) under uncultured Glomeromycotina. RNAcentral's name for it is "SSU rRNA". It matches the Rfam family "Eukaryotic small subunit ribosomal RNA", at positions 569 to 1023 of the family's 1831-position model. Lineage: Eukaryota; Fungi; Glomeromycota. The record is from RNAcentral.